GACUCAAGCAAUUUGGCUCUGUGGGCAGCGUCGCCUUGCCGGAUGCGUUCAGCACAGUCACGUCUGUGGGGCGCACUUUGAGCGAUUGCUGAAACAUUUCAUUUAUUAAAAAUUUGUAU
Molecule: long non-coding RNA, 119 nt
Organism: Drosophila arizonae
Lineage: Eukaryota; Metazoa; Arthropoda; Insecta; Diptera; Drosophilidae
Source: RefSeq, a predicted model, not a curated record